CGGAUCGCAUUAUGAUCAUAUUAUUAUGAUUGGCGAUAGAUCAUUCAAGUUUCUGACCUAUCAGCUUUCGACGGUAGUGUAUUGGACUACCGUGGCAGUGACGGGUAACGGGGAAUUAGGGUUCGAUUCCGGAGAGGGAGCCUGAGAAACGGCUACCACAUCUAAGGAAGGCAGCAGGCGCGCAAAUUACCCAAUCCUGACUCAGGGAGGUAGUGACAAGAAAUAACAACACUGGAAAUUUUAUUUCUAGUGAUUGGAAUGAUGGGAAUCCAAACCCCUUUCAGAGUAACAAUUGGAGGGCAAGUCUGGUGCCAGCAGCCGCGGUAAUUCCAGCUCCAAUAGCGUAUAUUAAAGUUGUUGCAGUUAAAAAGCUCGUAGUUGGAUAUCUGCUGGAAGCAAUCAGUCCGCCCUAUUUUAGGGUGUGCACUUGAUGAAUUCUGGCAUCUAUUAUUCUUAAUAUAAUGAUUAUUGAAUUGAUUUUCAAUAAUCAUUAUUAGGAAUAAUACAGUUACUUUGAGAAAAUUAGAGUGUUUGAAGCAGGCUUAUUGCCUUGAAUACUGCAGCAUGGAAUAACAAUAUAGGAUUUCGGUUCUAUUAUUUUGUUGGUUUGUAGGACUGAAAUAAUGAUUAAUAGGGACAGUUGGGGGCAUUCGUAUUUAACUGUCAGAGGUGAAAUUCUUAGAUUUGUUAAAGACGAACUACUGCGAAAGCAUUUGCCAAGGAUGUUUUCAUUAAUCAAGAACGAAAGUUAGGGGCUCGAAGACGAUCAGAUACCGUCGUAGUCUUAACCAUAAACUAUGCCGACUAGAGAUA
This 813-nucleotide ribosomal RNA is filed under the name Sarcocystis hominis. Its description in RNAcentral is "SSU rRNA". It matches the Rfam family "Eukaryotic small subunit ribosomal RNA", at positions 254 to 1054 of the family's 1831-position model. The record is from RNAcentral. Lineage: Eukaryota; Apicomplexa; Conoidasida; Eucoccidiorida; Sarcocystidae.